GAUGAACGCUAGCGGCAGGCUUAACACAUGCAAGUCGAGGGGCAGCACGGUAGCAAUACUGGUGGCGACCGGCAAACGGGUGCGGAACACGUACAGAACCUACCUUUAUCUGGGGCAUAGCCCGAAGAAAUUCGGAUUAACUCCCCAUAAUACUAUCGGGUGGCAUCAUUUGGUAGUUAAAAUUACAUUGGAUAGAGAUGGCUGUGCGUCCCAUUAGCUAGUUGGUAGGGUAACGGCCUACCAAGGCGACGAUGGGUAGCUGGUGUGAGAGCACGACCAGCCACGCGGGCACUGAGACACGGGCCCGACUCCUACGGGAGGCAGCAGUGAGGAAUAUUGGUCAAUGGACGCAAGUCUGAACCAGCCAUGCCGCGUGAAGGAUGAAGGCCUUCUGGGUUGUAAAACUCUUUCACCUGUGAAGAUAAUGACGGUAGCAGGAGAAGAAGCACCGG
This 452-nucleotide ribosomal RNA is filed under the name uncultured bacterium. RNAcentral describes it as "bacterial SSU rRNA". It matches the Rfam family "Bacterial small subunit ribosomal RNA", at positions 28 to 496 of the family's 1533-position model. The record is from RNAcentral.